RNAcentral lists this ribosomal RNA (253 nucleotides) under uncultured bacterium. RNAcentral describes it as "partial 16S ribosomal RNA". It matches the Rfam family "Bacterial small subunit ribosomal RNA", at positions 524 to 776 of the family's 1533-position model. The record is from RNAcentral.
UACGUAGGUGGCAAGCGUUAUCCGGAAUUAUUGGGCGUAAAGCGCGCGCAGGUGGUUUCUUAAGUCUGAUGUGAAAGCCCCCGGCUCAACUGGGGAGGGUCAUUCGAUACUGAUCGACUCGAAGGCAGGAGAGGGUAGUGGAAUUCCCGGUGUAGUGGUGAAAUGCGUAGAUAUCGGGAGGAACACCAGUGGCGAAGGCGACUACCUGGCCUGUUCUUGACGCUGAGGCGCGAAAGCUAGGGGAGCAAACGGG